Molecule: transfer RNA, 72 nt
Filed under: Marmota monax (woodchuck)
Lineage: Eukaryota; Metazoa; Chordata; Mammalia; Rodentia; Sciuridae
Description: tRNA.Ala
Rfam family: tRNA (bases 1-64)
About the family: Transfer RNA (tRNA) molecules are approximately 80 nucleotides in length.
Source: RNAcentral
GGGGAUUUAGCUCAGUUGGUAGAGUAUUUGCCUUGCAUGCACAAGGCCCUGGUUUCAAUCCCCAGCACCACA